GAUUAUGGCUCAGGAUGAACGCUGGCGGCGUGCCUAACACGUGCAAGUCGAACGGAGUUACGAGAGCUUGCUUUGUAACUUAGUGGCGGACGGGUGAGUAAUGUAUGAGCAACCUGCCUUUCAGAGGGGGACAACAGUUGGAAACGACUGCUAAUACCGCAUAACGUGCGGGGAGGGCAUCCUUCCUGUACCAAAGGAGCAAUCCGCUGAAAGAUGGGCUCAUAUCUGAUUAGUUAGUUGGCAGGGUAACGGCCUACCAAGACUGCGAUCAGUAGCCGGACUGAGAGGUUGAACGGCCACAUUGGGACUGAGAUACGGCCCAGACUCCUACGGGAGGCAGCAGUGGGGAAUAUUGGGCAAUGGGCGAAAGCCUGAACCCCAGCAACGCCGCGUGAAGGAAGAAGGUCUUCGGAUUGUAAACUUCUUUUAUGAGGGACGAAGGACGUGACGGUACCUCAUGAAUAAGCCACGGCUAACUACGUGCCAGCAGCAGC
Molecule: ribosomal RNA, 494 nt
Filed under: uncultured bacterium
Lineage: Bacteria
Description: bacterial SSU rRNA
Rfam family: Bacterial small subunit ribosomal RNA
Source: RNAcentral